Molecule: ribosomal RNA, 484 nt
Filed under: uncultured bacterium
Lineage: Bacteria
Description: partial 16S ribosomal RNA
Rfam family: Bacterial small subunit ribosomal RNA
Source: RNAcentral
AUUGAACGCUGGCGGCAGGCCUAACACAUGCAAGUCGAGCGGAUGAAGGGAGCUUGCUCCUGGAUUCAGCGGCGGACGGGUGAGUAAUGCCUAGGAAUCUGCCUGGUAGUGGGGGAUAACGUCCGGAAACGGGCGCUAAUACCGCAUACGUCCUGAGGGAGAAAGUGGGGGAUCUUCGGACCUCACGCUAUCAGAUGAGCCUAGGUCGGAUUAGCUAGUUGGUGGGGUAAAGGCCUACCAAGGCGACGAUCCGUAACUGGUCUGAGAGGAUGAUCAGUCACACUGGAACUGAGACACGGUCCAGACUCCUACGGGAGGCAGCAGUGGGGAAUAUUGGACAAUGGGCGAAAGCCUGAUCCAGCCAUGCCGCGUGUGUGAAGAAGGUCUUCGGAUUGUAAAGCACUUUAAGUCGGGAGGAAGGGCAGUAAGUUAAUACCUUGCUGUUUUGACGUUACCAACAGAAUAAGCACCGGCUAACUUCGCG